This is a long non-coding RNA of Oncorhynchus tshawytscha (Chinook salmon), 591 nucleotides long. RefSeq lists it as uncharacterized. Lineage: Eukaryota; Metazoa; Chordata; Actinopteri; Salmoniformes; Salmonidae. The record is from RefSeq and is a predicted model, not a curated record. The transcript has 3 exons.
CUUCUCUCUCUCUCUCCCCCCCUCUCUCUCUCUCUCGUGGGAUUAACGUGCGGUCGAGUAUCGGGCAUGUUCCAAGGGAGAGGAAGACGGGAAGAGAAGGAAGCGAGACAGAUCUUUGAAGGAGAGAGAGAGAGCGAGACGGUGUUGAGUCGGACGUACAGAAAACAGGAGAAUAAAACAAGCUGAGGAUCUACCUGAACAAGGUCCUCCAUAUUGAAAAGGCACCUGUCGUCUUUGACCAUGUCUAAGGACCAGUGUGACUCUGUAGCAGUGAGCGUCGAGUCCCUCUUAACAGACGCAGUUAAGAUGCAGUCCCAGUGUCGGGAGCGCAGUGAGCAGCUAGCUGUGGCCGCCGCCGCACUGCGGGAGGAGUCGGCGUGCUUGAGAGAACAGUGUCAAGCCACCCAGCUGGAUAUGGCCCGGAUGAGAAGGCAGCUGGAAGAACUGCUGGAUACCAAAGCUCAGAUGGAGGCCAGUGAUAGGAUGCACCGCAAACUCAGCAGGACACUUUAAAUGGAAGAGAAGGAAGAGAAGAGAGGGGAGGAACCAGGAGGGAGAGAGAAGAGAGGAGAGAGGGGAGGAACCAGGAGG